CAGUCGCCGCGGUAAUACGAAGGGUGCAAGCGUUACUCGGAAUUACUGGGCGUAAAGCGUGCGUAGGUGGUGGUUUAAGUCCGCUGUGAAAGCCCUGGGCUCAACCUGGGAAUUGCAGUGGAUACUGGGUCACUAGAGUGUGGUAGAGGAUAGUGGAAUUUCCGGUGUAGCAGUGAAAUGCGUAGAGAUCGGAAGAAACAUCAGUGGCGAAGGCGGCCAUCUGGGACAACACUGACGCUGAAGCACGAAAGCGUGGGGAGCGAACAGGAUUAGAUACCCCCGUAGUCCCUGUCUCUUAUAC
This 301-nucleotide ribosomal RNA is filed under the name uncultured bacterium. RNAcentral's name for it is "partial 16S ribosomal RNA". It matches the Rfam family "Bacterial small subunit ribosomal RNA", at positions 509 to 807 of the family's 1533-position model. The record is from RNAcentral.